This 71-nucleotide transfer RNA is filed under the name Phrynosoma platyrhinos (Desert horned lizard). RNAcentral's name for it is "tRNA-OTHER". Lineage: Eukaryota; Metazoa; Chordata; Lepidosauria; Squamata; Phrynosomatidae. The record is from RNAcentral.
AUCCAGUGUGGUGUAGUGGUUUGAUGUUGGACUACGACUCUGGAGACAAGGUUCAAUUCCCAGCUUGGAUA